Molecule: ribosomal RNA, 454 nt
Filed under: uncultured bacterium
Lineage: Bacteria
Description: partial 16S ribosomal RNA
Rfam family: Bacterial small subunit ribosomal RNA
Source: RNAcentral
GAUGAACGCUGACAGAAUGCUUAACACAUGCAAGUCAACUUGAACUUCGGUUUGGGUGGCGGACGGGUGAGUAACGCGUAAAGAACUUGCCUCACAGCUAGGGACAACAUUUGGAAACGAAUGCUAAUACCUGAUAUUAUGAUUAUAUGGCAUCGUAUAAUUAUGAAAGCUAUAUGCGCUGUGAGAGAGCUUUGCGUCCCAUUAGCUAGUUGGAGAGGUAACAGCUCACCAAGGCGAUGAUGGGUAGCCGGCCUGAGAGGGUGAUCGGCCACAAGGGGACUGAGACACGGCCCUUACUCCUCCGGGAGGCAGCAGUGGGGAAUAUUGGACAAUGGACCGAGAGUCUGAUCCAGCAAUUCUGUGUGCACGAUGAAGUUUUUCGGAAUGUAAAGUGCUUUCAGUUGGGAAGAAAAAAAUGACGGUACCAACAGAAGAAGUGACGGCUAAAUACGUG